UGGGAAAAUGAAGAAAAAGAAUAAAAAAGCGGUCCAAAUCCGACUGAAGUUUAAAACGUAAGACUUGUACUUUCAUUAUAUAAUACUCACGAGGUCAAUUCAAUAACGGGCCGAGGUAUUCCGUUUUGCAACUGGUUGCUGAAAUCAAAUCAAAGGGGACGUUGGACCCUUCGUCUUCUUCUCCACUCUCCAGAAAACUCCACGAAGAGAAAACAAGAAUGGAUCUCUGCUGAAGUUAUUGGUUUAUAAUUUUCAUUUGUUAAAUUAAUUUGGGCAGUGAAGUUGCAGAUUUUCUGGAGAUAUGGCGUUGCCUGCAAAAGGUGACUUUUGUGGGGGUGUGUGUACCAAUAUAUGGUAACUUAUGGUAUAUUUUUACGUGGGUUUACUUUGUUUAUGCACAUGCAGAAACAUAAGGAGAUAUUUUUUCUUAUUUGCCUAAAUUUUGAUAUUUAUAUGCUGAAUUUAAUUGGUAACCCACUGGUUGGAAAAGACAGGAUCAAUUUUUCGGUUUAAAUCAGUAAUUUUAAUGUUCAAAUUUGUUUUUGACGAAAUUGUGAAUUUUAAAUUUUCUAUCAUAAUAAUGGUUUCUCAAAGUCAAAGAAUGCCUACAGCAAUGCUCUUUUCAGUAUGAGAAUUGGGCUUUCAAUUUUAUGUAGCUUUCGAUAUUUCUCGUCUGGGAUAUCUGUUUAUUGUUCUGUGUAAAUAGGGAGAUUAGGAUACUUUAGGUAUAUGUAAAAAUGUUGAAAAAAGUUCACUUAUUUAAAGGGGGAAAUUCUUGAAUCGUUCCUGUUUAUAAGUAUUGUUGAAUAAGAAAAUUCAGAGGAGCAAGCGAGCUCAUAACCUGUCUAUACAAAACCUGAAGAUGUGGAGAAGAAAGAGUAAGCGUAAAAGCUCACAGAGAAGAAAGGCAAAUUGAAUCCAUAAAAUUCCACGUUGGAAGAAACUCUUCAACCUGGUAUUAAAAUACGCAUGGUUAAAUGUUUGAAGUAUGAAAUGUGAGUACCUAACAGAAUUAGUUAGAAAUCCACCAUUAAAUGACAGGAAUGAAUUUAAUAAAAGGACCCAAUUGCCCUCAAGACCCUCAGGGAAAUCUAUAAAUAGUCUCACCUAGAAGGAUAAGCGCACGCAAACUAAAAUAUCUUCCUCCUUAAUAGACAUUUUCCCUCUUUGUUGAGCAUCAAACACUGUGAGUUUAGGAGGAAAAAAAUUCUGGUUUGGUGAGAGGAGUUUGUUGAUAAUAACUUUGUUGUCAACAAGUAUAAGCUUGCAAUAAGAAAAUCUGAUCAUUGAAUACCAAGAAUGAUUAUUAUGAUCUUGUUGUCUGUUGACAAGCUUGAAAUCUAAAGCAAAGAAAGUAAAACAUAAGAAGAAAUGUUUUUGGUCAUACUGGAAACAAGAGAUAAUUUUCAAUGAUACUUUAAUGGAUAAACAUAACAAAAAAUAAAAAGAUCAAAUUACGUUGACUUUGUCAUGGGCAUCUGUAGUUAUACUGACAAUUGGCCAUGCAAUGGCUCCCGUCCCUGUGUCAAUUAAAGUAAAGGAACUUCCGUUUCAAUCUUUUUGGCUAGCUAGUUGGUGAUCCUCUUGAAGCGGUAAAUAGACCUUGUUCUUAAUCUUAAAAUGAUAUGUAGAUAGGUUGUACUCAUGGUUCAUUAUUUGGAGACAAAACUUGUGCUAAUGAGGGAAAAAGUCACAAUAAUACCUUUUAGUUCAACAUAUAUCUCCAUAUGUAAAUGACUAUGUGGUAUUUCGAAUUUGUGGGCACUUCUGCUAGGAUAUGUCUAAGAGAUUUUCAGUUGGUUGGAUUGGCAAGUUGAGGAAAUUAUACCUUGUCAAAUUCAGUUUUUUUAUUGGAGCUAAUAGAUGUAAAAACAUACCCAAAAGGUGAAAUUCCUUUUUUUCUCAACAAAAUUCACGAGUUUACAGAUAUCACAAAGGGUUAAUGCAUUUACACAACUGCUUUUUUUAUCUAGCUAAGUGCUAGCUACAGGUGUUGAUGUUUUGCAUAUCAUAGUUACAAGAGAUCUUACUCUUUUUGUGCUAUGCCUUUAGUUUUGGAAAAGAGAGCAGAGAAGUUUGAGUUGAAGAAAUUACAGGGUCCAGCAGUGACAAAG
Molecule: long non-coding RNA, 2114 nt
Filed under: Olea europaea (common olive)
Lineage: Eukaryota; Viridiplantae; Streptophyta; Magnoliopsida; Lamiales; Oleaceae
Description: long non-coding RNA (OEUR_LNC000620)
Source: RNAcentral